UACAGAGACUGCAAGCGUUAUUCGGAUUCACUGGGCGUAAAGGGUGCGCAGGCGGCCGUGUGUGUGAGACGUGAAAGCCCGGGGCUUAACCCCGGAAUUGCACCUCAAACUACAUGGCUAGAGCAUUGGAGAGGGUAGCGGAAUUCACGGUGUAGCAGUGAAAUGCGUAGAUAUCGUGAGGAACACCAGAGGCGAAGGCGGCUACCUGGACAAUUGCUGACGCUCAGGCACGAAAGCGUGGGGAGCAAAAGGG
Molecule: ribosomal RNA, 253 nt
Filed under: uncultured bacterium
Lineage: Bacteria
Description: partial 16S ribosomal RNA
Rfam family: Bacterial small subunit ribosomal RNA
Source: RNAcentral